This is a long non-coding RNA of Maylandia zebra (zebra mbuna), 167 nucleotides long. RefSeq lists it as uncharacterized. The record is from RefSeq and is a predicted model, not a curated record. Lineage: Eukaryota; Metazoa; Chordata; Actinopteri; Cichliformes; Cichlidae.
GCACGUUGCUGCAUUAAGCUAGGCAAAAGAGAGCAAUUAACAAGCUACACAAGGCCUUUAUGUGUUUUACUCUCGACCAAAACCAGGCAGAGCGUGUAUUUGUUUCUUGGGAAUUCCGACUGGUUUUUUGUGAUCCUGGAUCUGAAGUGGUUCUGGAUAUGGAUGGC